This 78-nucleotide small nuclear RNA is filed under the name Jaculus jaculus (lesser Egyptian jerboa). The record is from RNAcentral. Lineage: Eukaryota; Metazoa; Chordata; Mammalia; Rodentia; Dipodidae.
GUGAUCGCUUCAGCAGCACAUAUACUAAAAUUGGAACAACACAGAGAAGAUUAGCAUGGGCCCUGUGCAAGAAAGACA